GGGAGAGUGGGGGUGGGGUUGCAGAGUGCAGAAAAAGGAAGACUAGAAAAGCCCGUCCAGAGGGAGAAUUUAUUUUUGCAGCAAGGAUUCCAGUUCCCCAGGGACAGUUUCCAUUGACGGACACCUGUGCACACAGGUCUGCAUGAGCCCUGUGUUGUUGGGGACCAGUAAGACAUUUCAGCCUGCAAUGUGAGGAAGCUGGUGCCACAUACACACCCUCUGUCACUGAUCAGGUGUUCAUUUGCCAGGCACAUGGACUUGUACAAAAGGUCCAUGUAAAAAUUGUCUGUCUGGCCAUAGCUG
Long non-coding RNA from Phodopus roborovskii (desert hamster), 303 nucleotides. RefSeq lists it as uncharacterized. NCBI's taxonomy places the organism in Eukaryota, Metazoa, Chordata, Mammalia, Rodentia, Cricetidae. The transcript is spliced from 3 exons. The record is from RefSeq and is a predicted model, not a curated record.